UAAGGUGAGACCUGCCCAAUGAUUCUUAAUUAAAUAAAAAUAACAAUAUUAUAAUAGAAUUUAAAGGACGCGGUAACCUUGACUGUGAUAAUGUAGCAUAAUCAUUCGCCAUUUAAUUGAUGGAUAGUAUGAACGGUUAAACGAAUAUUACACUGUCUCAGAAAAAGAUUUUAUAAAAUUGAAAUAAUAGUCAAGAUGCUAUUUAAAAUUGUAAGACGAAAAGACCCUAUAGAGCUUCACUACAUUAUUCCUUUUAUAUGAAGAAAACAAAUCUUUAAAAAAAGAAUAAAGAUAGUUUAGUUGGGGCGACUAUCUUCUAAAAAUAACGAAGACAAACAAUAUUAAUAAAAUAAUUUAUUGUAUAAAAAAUAAAUUUAACAAUUACUAAAGUAGGUUAUAAUGACCCAUUAUGAUUAAAUAAAAAAACAUAAUGAUAAAUAAAUAAAAGCUACCUUAGGGAUAACAGGAUAAUUUUACUCUAGAGACCACAUCAAAAGUAAAGUUUGUCACCUCUAUGUUGAAUUAAGAUAUCCAAGUAAUGCAGAAGUUACUAAAGGUAGGUCUGUUCGACCUUUAAAAUCUUACAUGAUUUGA
Molecule: ribosomal RNA, 594 nt
Filed under: Hydrichthella epigorgia
Lineage: Eukaryota; Metazoa; Cnidaria; Hydrozoa; Anthoathecata; Ptilocodiidae
Description: partial 16S ribosomal RNA
Rfam family: Bacterial large subunit ribosomal RNA
Source: RNAcentral